RNAcentral lists this ribosomal RNA (269 nucleotides) under uncultured Eubacteriales bacterium. RNAcentral describes it as "uncultured Clostridiales bacterium partial 16S ribosomal RNA". It matches the Rfam family "Bacterial small subunit ribosomal RNA", at positions 72 to 339 of the family's 1533-position model. The record is from RNAcentral. Lineage: Bacteria; Bacillati; Bacillota; Clostridia; Eubacteriales.
UUAGAGCUUCGGUUUUAACUUUAGUGGCGAACGGGUGAGUAACGCGUGAGGAACCUGCCUUUCAGUGGGGGGACAACAGUUGGAAACGACUGCUAAUACCGCAUGAUGCUUCUGGGAGACAUCUCCUGAAAGUCAAAGCUUUAUGUGCUGAAAGAUGGCCUCGCGUCUGAUUAGCUAGUUGGUGAGGUAACGGCUCACCAAGGCGACGAUCAGUAGCCGGUCUGAGAGGAUGAACGGCCACAUUGGGACUGAGAUACGGCCCAGACUCC